RNAcentral lists this ribosomal RNA (468 nucleotides) under uncultured bacterium. RNAcentral describes it as "partial 16S ribosomal RNA". It matches the Rfam family "Bacterial small subunit ribosomal RNA", at positions 28 to 507 of the family's 1533-position model. The record is from RNAcentral.
GACGAACGCUGGCGGCGUGCUUAACACAUGCAAGUCGAACGGAAAGGCCCUGCUUUUGCGGGGUGCUCGAGUGGCGAACGGGUGAGUAACACGUGAGUAACCUGCCCCUGACUUUGGGAUAACUUCAGGAAACAGGGGCUAAUACCGGAUAGGAGCUCCUGCUGCAUGGUGGGGGUUGGAAAGUUUCGGCGGUUGGGGAUGGACUCGCGGCUUAUCAGCUUGUUGGUGGAGUAGUGGCUUACCAAGGCUUUGACGGGUAGCCGGCCUGAGAGGGUGAACGGCCACAUUGGGACUGAGAGACGGCCCAGACUCCUACGGGAGGCAGCAGUGGGGAAUAUUGCGGAAUGGGCGGAAGCCUGAUGCAGCAACGCCGCGUGCGGGAUGACGUCCUUCGGGUUGUGAACCGCUUUCGCCGGUGACGAAGCGUGAGUGACGGUAAUGGGUAAAGAAGCACCGGCUAACUACGUG